ACCUGGGAACUGCAUUCGAAACUGGCAGGCUAGAGUCUUGUAGAGGGGGGUAGAAUUCCAGGUGUAGCGGUGAAAUGCGUAGAGAUCUGGAGGAAUACCGGUGGCGAAGGCGGCCCCCUGGACAAAGACUGACGCUCAGGUGCGAAAGCGUGGGGAGCAAACAGGAUUAGAUACCCUGGUAGUCCACGCCGUAAACGAUGUCGAUUUGGAGGUUGUGCCCUUGAGGCGUGGCUUCCGGAGCUAACGCGUUAAAUCGACCGCCUGGGGAGGACGGCCGCAAGGUUAAAACUCAAAUGAAUUGACGGGGGCCCGC
RNAcentral lists this ribosomal RNA (313 nucleotides) under Acinetobacter baumannii. Its description in RNAcentral is "bacterial SSU rRNA". It matches the Rfam family "Bacterial small subunit ribosomal RNA", at positions 612 to 924 of the family's 1533-position model. Lineage: Bacteria; Pseudomonadati; Pseudomonadota; Gammaproteobacteria; Moraxellales; Moraxellaceae. The record is from RNAcentral.